UUGAAUAAACAUCAAUUAAUAUUUGAUAAACCUUAAACAAAUUAACACUUUUCAAGAUCGCAAGCAAAGAGACUUUCAUUGGUAUAACCAAUACUCUGGAAAAUAUCAUUUUGCUUGACCUUGAAUCGCUAAACAAUUCGAAUUGUUUGAAAACCAUCUUUUCGAAUUGAACAAAAAGAGAACUUUUUACUCUCACACAUACACUGAUUUCUGUUCAUUAUGCCAACCCUAUUGAACCUGAAUAUACAAAGCUCUUGUGCCCCAUUUGUGCUUCAGAUUCUAAAAUAAUUUUGCAACCAGAUAUAGACCUCUCUGUGGAGGAGGUUUCUCCACAACCGUUGAAGAAGUUCACUAAAGCUGAAUAUGUGCUAAAAUCACCUCCACUCUCGAAACUGAUGACCCUUACCCACGAUGCUAAAAUUCGGCUGUUUGCUACCCUAUUAUCCUGGAUUAAGGUGCUGAAUGCUAUGCACUGUUGUGACUCUGAAUAGUUUGAUCUUAAGCUGUAUUUUUAUAUUGUCCAGGUUGAACAGAUAUAAAUGAAUGGGUGCAGCUCAGCAGACAUGUGAAAGUAGCAGCAUAAACGAUUCCAAGGUUGUGAAUCAAGCAACGUCUUGCCGGCUGUGAGAAGUUCUGUGCACUGUUCAGUUCGUUCAGGUGUUUUCCAGGUUAUCUUCACGAAAACGAAUGCAGACUUCCUGUGUCACACCCACUUACAAUGUAGAAGAGAACAGCAGGUGGAACGUAAGCAACUCUCGCAAGUGUAGAUUGGUCAGAGAAGAAGACGUAUAGUCCAUGGCAAUCGUGAGAAAACAAAACACAAAGGAAAGCUGCACAAUUCACUUCAACCCUGAACCUUCCAGGCGGAGCUCCAGCUGCACAUGGACAACAACAACAACACUCCAGAGAAUGGUCUGUCUGUGAAAUUGGGCUUUUAGCAGUAAGUGAGCACAACACGAAGCCUCCUUGCUGCUCUCCAGCAAUUCGAUGCCGGAUGCAUCCAAUGACCCGCCGACACACCGAUUUCGUAGCCUGCUUCG
This 1040-nucleotide long non-coding RNA is filed under the name Physcomitrium patens. Its description in RNAcentral is "long non-coding RNA (PPAT_LNC010002)". Lineage: Eukaryota; Viridiplantae; Streptophyta; Bryopsida; Funariales; Funariaceae. The record is from RNAcentral.